Molecule: long non-coding RNA, 479 nt
Organism: Haliotis rufescens (red abalone)
Lineage: Eukaryota; Metazoa; Mollusca; Gastropoda; Lepetellida; Haliotidae
Exons: 3
Source: RefSeq, a predicted model, not a curated record
AAGCGUUCAUCAGUAGAAUAAGAAACAGAUAGAUAUGAGAUAUAUCCUCUUGGUUGUGGUUGUCCUUGUGGUGCUUGUAGACCAGGGGAAUGGUCUCUCCUGUAUUCCAUGUGCCCAAACGAAAUGUGCGGCGCCCAGGGGAUGCAGAAAAGAGAACUACGUAAAAGACCUCUGCAAUUGCUGUGAUGUAUGUCCCACUAAAUUCGGGCAACCUUGCUCUGAACUGAAACCAAAGUGCACAAAGGACUUGUGGUGUAUCAAGAUAGAUGGGGAUUCCGCCGAGGCCAAGAAGAACUUACCAGCAGUCUGUGAUCGAUUCGAGGGCGUGUGUGGAAGAAUUAGAAUCGAAAGAAAGGAAGGACCUAAAUCUUAGAGUUGUAUCCAGUUGUUGGCCAACAUGAAGGGUUUAUCUCUCCUGUAAACAACACACUACUUAUUAAAUGUUGAGCAAAAUUAUUCAGUAAACUAUUUCAAAAUCU